UUACGGGAGGCAGCAGUGGGGAAUAUUGCGCAAUGGGGGAAACCCUGACGCAGCAACGCCGCGUGAAUGAAGAAGGCCUUAGGGUUGUAAAGUUCUGUUUACGGGGAAGAUAAUGACGGUACCCGUGGAGGAAGCCACGGCUAACUACGUGCCAGCAGCCGCGGUAAUACGUAGGUGGCAAGCGUUGUCCGGAUUUACUGGGCGUAAAGGAUGCGUAGGCGGAUGUUUAAGUGAGAUGUGAAAUACCCGAGCUCAACUUGGGUGCUGCAUUUCAAACUGGAUAUCUAGAGUGCAGGAGAGGAAAGCGGAAUUCCUAGUGUAGCGGUGAAAUGCGUAGAGAUUAGGAAGAACACCAGUGGCGAAGGCGGCUCUCUGGACUGUAACUGACGCUGAGGCAUGAAAGCGUGGGGAGCAAACAGGAUUAGAUACCCCAGUAGUCCG
This 441-nucleotide ribosomal RNA is filed under the name uncultured bacterium. RNAcentral describes it as "bacterial SSU rRNA". It matches the Rfam family "Bacterial small subunit ribosomal RNA", at positions 339 to 797 of the family's 1533-position model. The record is from RNAcentral.